CACAAUCACGCUGCAGGAAAUACGGUGGCAGCAGGGACUUGGAGGAUGUCAAGCUUCUCUCUCUGCUUCUUGACUCCGCUGCUUUCAUUCUGUCCUACUGCAGAUGACCCCUACUGAUAGGGAACAUGGCUGCUGGCCCCCAAUACAUAGCCUGUGAGUCCCACGACCUCCGAGACAAGAGACAUUCUUCCCCAGUAGGAACAUGCCAGGGCAAGGUGUUGAUUGGCUCUGUGUGGGUCACAUGCCCAUCUCUAGACCAAUCACUGUAGCUGGAGGAAUGGGAUACGAUGAUUAGUUCAGCCUGGGUCACGUGACCACUCCUUGGUUGGGGGACGUCUCUUGGAAGCCAUUACCAGAAGAAAUGGAGCAGAGUUCUUAAUUGUAGGCAACAGAAGAGUUGGAGUCUGAUUAUGUUGUCCAGGCUGAUGUCAAACUCCAGGCCUCAAACAGCCCUCCUGCCCCGGCCUCCCAAAGUGUGACUUUUCCUGACUUAAGCAGCACUAUUAAGUGCUCACACAUGAGGUACAGAAUGAUGCUUGGUGCCACCCAGGCAGACGCAAGCCCCUGAAGCCAUCGCAGCCCUAGUCUGAUGACUAGAGGCCGUGGCUCACUCCACUGCCCCUGCCACCGCCACUAAGGGGCCACCAGCUUCUUUGGGUUUCUGGUUCCAGAGCAGCUGCCUCAUCAUGUGUUCCUGCCGCCCCGCCGUCUUGACCUGGCAUCUUUGAGCGCUUUGAAAUGAUUCUUCUUGGCUGUCAUGCUUGCCUUCCACUCCCUUGGAGACAGGCUCUCGGAAUCUUCUGGUUGACAAGAGCUCAUCUGCUGAACAGACCGGGGCGAUGGGCUGAUGGGAGCGGCUGGGGACGUCUUAUCCGAGCCGAGGGCAGUGUCACAGGGGCUUCUAGAACACGUCUCUGCAUCUUUGCUGUUCAACUUGGCGGAAGUAGUGCUGACGGUGGGCAUGUAGGCGGCAGGGGGUGGGGGAGUUCCUGGCUUGGGGGAAGGUCAGACUGCACAGAAAUGCCAGCUUUAAUGGCCCUGUCCCCAACACAGGGACUGUCCACAUUCUUCAAACCCCUAGGGAGAUGAUUCAAGUAAUGAGAGAGUAUAAGUUAUGGGGAAUUGUUAAAGGAACUAGGAACCACCUAUUGUAUGUUAACUGUACCGAUCAAGCUUAUGAGUCAAUAAAAUAAGGAAGGGGCUUGCAA
Non-coding RNA from Microcebus murinus (gray mouse lemur), 1208 nucleotides. NCBI's taxonomy places the organism in Eukaryota, Metazoa, Chordata, Mammalia, Primates, Cheirogaleidae. The record is from RefSeq and is a predicted model, not a curated record.